GGGCCUGUAGCUCAGCGGUAGAGCAGUUGCCUCUUAAGCAAUUGGUCGUGGGUUCGAAUCCCACCGGGCCCUCCA
RNAcentral lists this transfer RNA (75 nucleotides) under Candidatus Berkelbacteria bacterium. Its description in RNAcentral is "tRNA-Lys". It matches the Rfam family "tRNA". Rfam says of the family: Transfer RNA (tRNA) molecules are approximately 80 nucleotides in length. Their secondary structure includes four short double-helical elements and three loops (D, anti-codon, and T loops). Further hydrogen bonds mediate the characteristic L-shaped molecular structure. tRNAs have two regions of fundamental functional importance: the anti-codon, which is responsible for specific mRNA codon recognition, and the 3' end, to which the tRNAs corresponding amino acid is attached (by aminoacyl-tRNA synthetases). tRNAs cope with the degeneracy of the genetic code in two manners: having more than one tRNA (with a specific anti-codon) for a particular amino acid; and 'wobble' base-pairing, i.e. permitting non-standard base-pairing at the 3rd anti-codon position. The record is from RNAcentral. Lineage: Bacteria; Candidatus Berkelbacteria.